RNAcentral lists this unclassified non-coding RNA (254 nucleotides) under uncultured bacterium. RNAcentral's name for it is "contains 16S-23S intergenic spacer region". It matches the Rfam family "Bacterial small subunit ribosomal RNA", at positions 524 to 776 of the family's 1533-position model. The record is from RNAcentral.
UACGGAGGGGGCGAGCGUUAAUCGGAUUUACUGGGCGUAAAGGGUCCGUAGGUGGUUGUGCAAGUCUGAUGUGAAAUCUUCGCCGCUCAACGGGAAGAGGUCAUUGGAAACUGCGCAACUUGAGUGUGGUAGAGGCUAGCGGAAUUCCGGGUGUAGCGGUGGAAUGUUUAGAUAUCCGGAAGAACACCAGUGGCGAAGGCGGCUAGCUGGGCCAUCACUGACACUGAGGGACGAAAGCGUGGGGAGCGAACAGG